Molecule: ribosomal RNA, 433 nt
Filed under: uncultured bacterium
Lineage: Bacteria
Description: partial 16S ribosomal RNA
Rfam family: Bacterial small subunit ribosomal RNA
Source: RNAcentral
AACGAACGCUGGCGGCAUGCCUAACACAUGCAAGUCGAACGACACCUCCGGGUUCAGUGUCGCACGGGUUCGUAACCCGUGGGAACCUGCACUUAGACGCGGCCUAACGCCGCGAAAAGGGCGGUAAUACCGGAAAAUGUCCUCGCACCAAACUUUGAUUGCCUUUGGAUGGGCCCGCGUUGGAUUAGCUUGUUAGUAGGGUAAAAGCCUACCAAGGCGACGUUCCAUAGCUGGUCUGAGAGGAUGAUCAGCCACACUGGGACUGAGACACGGCCCAGACUCCUACGGGAGGCAGCAGUGGGGAAUAUUGGAAAAUGGGCGAAAGCCUGAUCCAGCAAUGCCGCGUGAGUGAUGAAGGCCUUAGGGUUGUAAAGCUCUUUUACCCGGGAUGAUAAUGACAGUACCGGGAGAAUAAGCUCCGGCUAACUCCGUG